GGAUUAGAUACCCUGGUAGUCCACGCUGUAAACGAUGGCAACUGGGUGUCUCGGGUAUUGACCCCCGAUGCGCCGAAGUCAACACGUUAAGUUGCCCGCCUGGGAAGUACGGCCGCAAGGCUAAAACUCAAAGGAAUUGACGGGGGCCCGCACAAGCGGUGGAGCAUGUGGUUUAAUUCGACGCAACGCGAAGAACCUUACCUGGACUCGAAAAUGCAGGAAGUUGGCUGAAAGGCUGAUGUGCUCGCAAGAGAGCCUGUAUCAGGUGCUGCAUGGCUGUCGUCAGCUCGUGCCG
RNAcentral lists this ribosomal RNA (295 nucleotides) under uncultured bacterium. RNAcentral's name for it is "partial 16S ribosomal RNA". It matches the Rfam family "Bacterial small subunit ribosomal RNA", at positions 775 to 1067 of the family's 1533-position model. The record is from RNAcentral.